CAGCCGCCACGGGAAUACGAAGGGGGCUAGCGUUGCUCGGAAUUACUGGGCGUAAAGGGCGCGUAGGCGGACAGUUCAGUCGGGGGUGAAAGCCCGGGGCUCAACCUCGGAAUUGCCUUCGAUACUGGCUGUCUUGAGUAUGAGAGAGGUGUGUGGAACUCCGAGUGUAGAGGUGAAAUUCGUAGAUAUUCGGAAGAACACCAGUGGCGAAGGCGACACACUGGCUCAUUACUGACGCUGAGGAGCGAAAGCGUGGGGAGCGAACAGGAUUAGAUACCCGUGUAGUCCCUGUCUCUUAUAC
Molecule: ribosomal RNA, 301 nt
Filed under: uncultured bacterium
Lineage: Bacteria
Description: partial 16S ribosomal RNA
Rfam family: Bacterial small subunit ribosomal RNA
Source: RNAcentral